Lentithecium fluviatile CBS 122367 is the source of this 95-nucleotide non-coding RNA. The record is from the annotation of a GenBank genome assembly. Lineage: Eukaryota; Fungi; Ascomycota; Dothideomycetes; Pleosporales; Lentitheciaceae.
AGCUCGAUAGCUCAGUGGAAGAGCGACGGGCUCAUAUCAUAUGCUAUGAAUAUUGUGGCACCCGUAGGACGGUGGAUCGAAACCACUUCGAGCUA